Molecule: long non-coding RNA, 584 nt
Organism: Hyla sarda
Lineage: Eukaryota; Metazoa; Chordata; Amphibia; Anura; Hylidae
Exons: 3
Source: RefSeq, a predicted model, not a curated record
CAAAGAGCAGCACUGAGCAGAAAUAACACUGCUCCUGUUCAUUCUCCAUCAGUGAGGGGCCGGUGCUGGACACUGUGUAGGGACGCGGGAAUGCAAAGUCAUACACAUGACUGUGACUGAUGCAGUAUCUCCAGGACAUGGAGUAGCAUUUCCGGACCUACAGCAAGACGUUGGAUGAAGGCAUAGCCCCAGAAAUAACACUGGUCCUGUUCAUCAGUGAGGGGCCGGUGCUGGACACUGUGUAGGGACACGGGAAUGCAAAGUCAUGCACAUGACUGUGACUGAUGCACUAUUUCCAGGACAUGGAGUAGCAUUUCGGGACCUACAGCAAGACGUUGGAUGAAGGCUCAGGCCUAGGAAUCAUGCACAUACACAGAAACAUUUGCCCAAAUUAUAGAGGUAACCUCCUUUAGUAUGCCCAGAGGAAGGGCCAUACAGUAGCCAUGGAUUCCCUACAGGUUUCCUCCCCUCUGGAGGUUUUUCCUGUCCUGAGUAUUAGUUACUGUACGCUCUUUGUGAGUGAUGGGAGGUUACAAAAAAUCCCCUACACAAACAUUUUAAUAAAUUAUAAAUAAAGUUCCCCU